RNAcentral lists this long non-coding RNA (281 nucleotides) under Elaeis guineensis (African oil palm). Its description in RNAcentral is "long non-coding RNA (EGUI_LNC057123)". The record is from RNAcentral. Lineage: Eukaryota; Viridiplantae; Streptophyta; Magnoliopsida; Arecales; Arecaceae.
UGAUAGAAAAAGAGUAGUUCUAUGUAAUUUGCAAGACUGAGUUCAGAAAGUCUCUGACCAGAGCAAGUGUGAAUACUGAAAAAAAAUUUCAAUGAGAUUCACAAAUGAAAUCGAGUCGAGCUAAUCUGACAUAUGACUGAUGAUGGAAUUUGACGAGUUCUCCAUGACCUCUAUCUGGUUGGGACUCACGAUAAAGAAAUUAUAUCAUACGAUAACUAUACCUAGGGCUUCAUCUUUUUUAUUCUAUUGGAUUAUCACUACAUGCUGUUAGGUAUCACUGG